This 158-nucleotide ribosomal RNA is filed under the name Filobasidium wieringae. RNAcentral's name for it is "5.8S ribosomal RNA". It matches the Rfam family "5.8S ribosomal RNA". Rfam says of the family: 5.8S ribosomal RNA (5.8S rRNA) is a component of the large subunit of the eukaryotic ribosome. It is transcribed by RNA polymerase I as part of the 45S precursor that also contains 18S and 28S rRNA. Lineage: Eukaryota; Fungi; Basidiomycota; Tremellomycetes; Filobasidiales; Filobasidiaceae. The record is from RNAcentral.
AAACUUUUAACAACGGAUCUCUUGGCUCUCGCAUCGAUGAAGAACGCAGCGAAAUGCGAUAAGUAAUGUGAAUUGCAGAAUUCAGUGAAUCAUCUAAUCUUUGAACGCACCUUGCGCUCCUUGGUAUUCCGAGGAGCAUGCCUGUUUGAGUGUCAUAA